CCCGCUGAACUUAAGCAUAUCAAUAAGCGGAGGAAAAGAAACCAACAGGGAUUGCCCUAGUAACGGCGAGUGAAGCGGCAACAGCUCAAAUUUGAAAUCUGGCGCAAGCCCGAGUUGUAAUUUGUAGAGGAUGCUUCUGGGUAGCGGCCGGUCUAAGUUCCUUGGAACAGGACGUCAUAGAGGGUGAGAAUCCCGUAUGUGACUGGCUUGCACCCUCCACGUAGCUCCUUCGACGAGUCGAGUUGUUUGGGAAUGCAGCUCUAAAUGGGAGGUAAAUUUCUUCUAAAGCUAAAUACCGGCCAGAGACCGAUAGCGCACAAGUAGAGUGAUCGAAAGAUGAAAAGCACUUUGGAAAGAGAGUUAAAAAGCACGUGAAAUUGUUGAAAGGGAAGCGCCCGCAACCAGACUUUGCGGCAGUGUUCGGCCGGUCUUCUGACCGGUUUACUCGCUGUCGUGAGGCCAUCAUCGUCUGGGACCGCUGGAUAAGACCUUAGGAAUGUGGCUCCCCUCGGGGAGUGUUAUAGCCUCUGGUGAUGCAGCGCGUCUCGGGCGAGGUCCGCGCUUCGGCAAGGAUGAUGGCGUAAUGGUUGUCGGCGGCCCGUCUUGAAACACGGACCAAGGAGUCUAACAUCUAUGCGAGUGUUCGGGUGUCAAACCCCUACGCGUAAUGAAAGUGAACGGAGGUGGGAACUUUUUGUGCACCAUCGACCGAUCCUGAUGUCCUCGGAUGGAUUUGAGUAAGAGCAUAGCUGUUGGGACCCGAAAGAUGGUGAACUAUGCCUGAAUAGGGUGAAGCCAGAGGAAACUCUGGUGGAGGCUCGCAGCGGUUCUGACGUGCAAAUCGAUCGUCAAAUUUGGGUAUAGGGGCGAAAGACUAAUCGAACC
This 885-nucleotide ribosomal RNA is filed under the name Pseudocercospora humulicola. Its description in RNAcentral is "eukaryotic LSU rRNA". It matches the Rfam family "Eukaryotic large subunit ribosomal RNA", at positions 24 to 941 of the family's 3401-position model. The record is from RNAcentral. Lineage: Eukaryota; Fungi; Ascomycota; Dothideomycetes; Mycosphaerellales; Mycosphaerellaceae.